RNA transcript from Strigops habroptila (Kakapo), 2893 nucleotides. It is a transcript of the gene named RAD52 motif-containing protein 1-like, with no coding region annotated. The transcript is spliced from 5 exons. Lineage: Eukaryota; Metazoa; Chordata; Aves; Psittaciformes; Psittacidae. The record is from RefSeq and is a predicted model, not a curated record.
CUUCACCUGUAUGCUAAUAGCGUAUUUUUUAAUCCCUUUUAUAUUUUUGGGGUUGUUUUACUCGUAUUUUAGUUUCCUGGUGUCCCCGAGGCAUUCUGGCUGCAGGGCCAGCGCAGGGUGGUUCGUGUCCCCCCCGCAGCAAAACUGCACAGAUCCCAGCGCAAGAUGGAGCAAGACCCCGUCAUCUGCCAGCAAAAUACUGCGCUAAAAGCUUAGGCAAAGAGUGUUCCCACCCAAGGGAUGGUGGAAAGCAAAGGGGGUCCGGGAUGAGGGUGAUGCGGGGACAGAAAGCCUCGUGUCUGACUUGGCUCUCCCCCCAGUGCAGAGGCUGGAUGAUAUUGGAGAUAAGGGCAGAGAUGCAGCAAAGUUGAGCUUAUUGUUACGGAGAGAUGCUCAUCUUCAGCCUCACUGAUUGUUCCAGGGCUUACUCCUGUUAAACAGUACUAAAAGCUUUCCUCAUUUUCUAGGUAAUCAGGUCUUGUGAGUAGUCCUCUUUCUGUCACUGUCACUCAGCUCUUCAAGCACCCAUAGAUAUUUCAAAAGACCCAUUCUUUUCUCUUUCUUUUCCUCAGCAUUCCCUGUUUUCAGCGUUUUCCAGGUUUGGACCGCUCUACUCUGUGCGGGCGCACAGGAAUGCUGCUGUGGCAGGGCCUGGUUAUUGCGCUGUUAUCAAGUUUUAUUCAGCUGGAGAUGCCAGCAGAGCCCAGCGCACAUGCAAUGGGCAAAGGCUGUUUCAGAAGUCUCCCUUGAAGGUAAGCAGAAUGUGCAAGUGAAACCUGCAGGACUCGGCACUUCCAACAGCAGGGAGGAAUCACAUGGAAUACUUGUUGGUGUCAGUGAUGCUUCCUGUGCAAAAAGUUUACUAACUUGUGGCUGGGUGCUACUCAGAGGUGGCGUGUCGUAGUGGGAACCUUACAGCAGAGCCUGGCUAAGCAGGGUUCUUCUUUCCUGGACAGGUUUGUGUUUGCACCAAGCAGAAGGGGUUUCAGCACCAAGUCCUCGCUCUCAGCAGCAACAAGUGCCAGGAGUUGGCCAACCACUACCUUGGCUUUAACGGCUGGUCCAGUCGCAUCAUCACACUGCAGAAUGUAUCUGGCUUUGGUGGUGAGGAUGAGGAAGUGGGAAGGACGUUAGAGAAGCAAUCUGUGAAAUACCUGUGUGCUGUGGAGCUGACGCUGCCCAAACAUGGGGUGUGCACCAGAGGAGUUGCCCUUGCCGAGGCAGACGUAGAGAACAGUGCAGAUCCUCUCGAGUUGCUCACAGCAACAAGAAGAGUUCAGAAACUCGCAGCUGGGAGAGCUUUGUCUAGUGCCUUUCAGAAGAUACUCCUUGUUGUCUUAGAUCCUGAUGCGAUCAGGUCAGUGCCACUGUCUUCAUUCUACAACCUUUCAUCUGCCCGAUUCUUCCCCUGGCUUCUUUAAGGUGUUCGUUUGAAAGAGAAUGGGAAAGUGGCUGUGGAGUACAAUUCCUCCCAGGAGGAGCCCACAGACUCCUUAACAGAAGAGGAGCUGAAGGGGCUUGUGCAGGUGAGAGCAGGGGGUGUUUAGCUUUUGUACAGGACCUGUAUGUUACCUCUGGGGAUUGGAGAUACAGCUGUUGACUGUUACAACCUCUGACAUCCUCCUGUGCAGCAGUUACCUCCACUUAAAUCCCAGGAAGUAAUUACAUCUUGGAAUUGUACAGCAUAUUAAGGUUUUAAAACUCCUACUUUGUGUAUCUGUGGAGAAAUGCAGGUGUAUUUUAAAUGCCACAGGAAAGUGAGAAGUCGGGGUACAGCUUGGUAAGCGUCACACAUGACAGUGUCCAGAACAGCUCUUUAUAGAAUCUGUGAGAGUGAAAAUCCCAGUGAAGUCACAGAAGGUUAAAUCCAAUGGUUUUUUUGCAAUAAGUUUUUAAAUAACUGAAACUCCCCAUCUAGAAAUGCACUUCAUAAAGAGCCUUACACAGAGGGAAUAGUUGUGAAAAGCUUUGGUGAAAUCCCUGCAGGUAACUGAGGGAUCCGUUUGCAUGCACCAAACAGAAAUGCCCCAGUACAACAGCAAAACUUGAGUCAUCGUGCCCAGUGAGGUGAGUUCUGUGUGCCAGCCGCUGCACACAGGCAGGCAUGAGCAGAGGAGCUGCAUCUUGCUUAGUCUGAAAAAGACCGCUGCUUACCAGGGGAGAUCACUGACAUGAUGGUCUUUGGACAAAAAGCAUCACUCUCACAUGGUGCAUCCACACGCCCUGUGAGCAUGGAUGGAAGUGUCUAAGGAACCUUGUGACACGUUACUCUAUUUGGUGACGCUGAGUCACCUAGGAUCCAUGGGCAAAGCUAUUUUCCUCCCUGUAGUAAAACAGGAGGAUUUUGUUCUGUGAAGUAACUAAUGUCCAUCAGAUUAUUUUUUUUUAAGCAGUUGAGAAGAUGAAAUUCCUGCUGGUUUGUUCUCUCUGCGUUUUCCUCUGUACAGCCCCUUCUAUCUUACCUCUCUGAAACCCACAGAGAGCUGACCUCACAUGUGCUGACCAUAGGAGAAGCGAGCAGGGAAGUUAAACAGAAAGCCUGCUGCUUCUCAAACCUCUCUUUUACCACAAGAGCCAUCCCUCUCCUCCCCUGCUGUCUCACUUCCCUUGUGAUGGUGUGUGGGAGGUAAUUCCAACAUGCUCUCUCCACGAGGCACCUUCCAGCCUGAUAGGGAGAGGAACAGACAAGAAUUCAGAAGGACUUGCUUGGGUGGAGAGCUACUGGGUGUCCUCUUGGCUCAUUGCCUUGUGAUCUCAGUCAGUUAUUCUGAAACAGGAAUGUUCCUGAGUUGGUAAAUUCUGGAGAGGCUGCCUCAAAAAUACCCUGUUUGCAGGUGCAGAGAGGUGAAGCUUAAAUAUAUUAUAGAGCAAGAAAUUUACUCUGGAUUUCUCU